Molecule: ribosomal RNA, 315 nt
Filed under: Triticum aestivum (bread wheat)
Lineage: Eukaryota; Viridiplantae; Streptophyta; Magnoliopsida; Poales; Poaceae
Description: partial small subunit ribosomal RNA
Source: RNAcentral
AUGCGCGCAAGCCAAGGUCCUGGAGAGGGCCGAGGUCGGAGAGGUGGCCGUAGGGGAGGCCGGACAGGGGGGCGUUCAGGCAAUCGACGCGAGGCCGACAUGAACAACUUCCCAGCUCAUCAGGAGACGGGAAGGAGAGAGGAUGACAUGGUAGUGGACGGCAAAGGCAAAGAUGCUAAUAUGGAUGAUCUCACGAGGAAGAGGUUGGCUGGGCUGCCGCUGGAGGGUAAUGUGCACAACAACACAAAGGGUGAUGCUGCAGAUAAGCUGCAGAUAUGUAAAUGGUUCACACAAGGUUCAAGAACUAACCAAUGA